This is a ribosomal RNA of 600 nucleotides. It matches the Rfam family "Bacterial small subunit ribosomal RNA", at positions 38 to 636 of the family's 1533-position model.
CGCCGGCUAGCGUACACAUGCAGUCGAGCGGUAACAGGGGUAGCUUGCUACCCGCUGACGAGCGGCGGACGGGUGAGUAAUGCAUAGGAAUCUACCCGGUAGUGGGGGAUAACCUGGGGAAACCCAGGCUAAUACCGCAUACGUCCUACGGGAGAAAGGGGGCUUCGGCUCCCGCUAUCGGAUGAGCCUAUGCCGGAUUAGCUGGUUGGUGAGGUAAUGGCUCACCAAGGCGACGAUCCGUAGCUGGUCUGAGAGGAUGAUCAGCCACAUCGGGACUGAGACACGGCCCGAACUCCUACGGGAGGCAGCAGUGGGGAAUAUUGGACAAUGGGCGAAAGCCUGAUCCAGCCAUGCCGCGUGUGUGAAGAAGGCCCUCGGGUUGUAAAGCACUUUCAGUGAGGAAGAACGCCUGUCGGUUAAUACCCGGCAGGAAAGACAUCACUCACAGAAGAAGCACCGGCUAACUCCGUGCCAGCAGCCGCGGUAAUACGGAGGGUGCAAGCGUUAAUCGGAAUUACUGGGCGUAAAGCGCGCGUAGGUGGCUUGAUAAGCCGGUUGUGAAAGCCCCGGGCUCAACCUGGGAACGGCAUCCGGAACUGU